RNAcentral lists this small nuclear RNA (23 nucleotides) under Arabidopsis thaliana (thale cress). Its description in RNAcentral is "snRNA_16125". Lineage: Eukaryota; Viridiplantae; Streptophyta; Magnoliopsida; Brassicales; Brassicaceae. The record is from RNAcentral.
AGCAAAGACCAGCUGCUAUGGAU